This 116-nucleotide ribosomal RNA is filed under the name Pectobacterium carotovorum. Lineage: Bacteria; Pseudomonadati; Pseudomonadota; Gammaproteobacteria; Enterobacterales; Pectobacteriaceae. RNAcentral also lists the same sequence under 9 other names. The record is from RNAcentral.
CCUGGCGGCGAUAGCGCGGUGGUCCCACCUGACCCCAUGCCGAACUCAGAAGUGAAACGCCGUAGCGCCGAUGGUAGUGUGGGGCUUCCCCAUGCGAGAGUAGGGAACUGCCAGGC